UAUUCAUUUGUAUAGAUAAUUUCUAAUGGACAAUUCAGUGAUUUAUCCAGUGACAGAAAUUAGAGAAGGAUUUUUUUUUCUCUUGUUUUAAUAUGGUACAGCAUUUUUAAAAGAGAGGAAAUGACUACAACUCAGACUUUCCCCUUUCAUUUCAAUAAGGUUUCUGGCCAACAUCAUAUCCAAAAAGGAGACUCCACAGCACAAUGCUUUUCACUCCAGAAUAACGUCUUGUUCUAAUAUCCUAAAUUUCCUAAUUUCAUCCACAUGGUUUCCUUCAUUACAUAAAGUCAAAUUUAAAAGUGGAAGACUGAUCUGAAAUUCAUCUAUUUGCUCAAAGGCUGUGCUGUGCUGUGCUCUGCAGUGUGCCAGGCAUUCCACACAGAACUUUGGAAGUUUCAGAUCUAUGCUAGAGUAUUGCAUAUCUCCCUGUCACUUGUUUAUAAGGUUGCAUUAGAAAGAACAGUCUGACCUCAGUUCAGAAAUCAGCAGAGUGUCUGGAAACAAAGAAUGAGUAGGCUCAGAAUAAAUAGACACAGAACUUGAAAAGAAUACUGGAAACAAACAGGCAUUGUGGCCACUGCAAUCAAUUACUUAGAGCUGUUGAUUUCUACCACACCAUUUAACCAAACACAAUGCAAUGUUUAGUCCUCUUCACCACAAAACUGUGAGGCAAUCUGCUUAAGGAUAGAUAGUAUUAUAUCAUAUCUGUCAGUCAGUCACUGAAUAAAUGACCUGUGACACUUUGCGGAUAGGAAGAAUUUACUUCUUUGUUAUUACUGCUUGCUCCAUCUUUAGCACAACAAAUGCAUUUUCUACAAUGCUAUGAAGAUAAAUGAAGUUUCUUCAAUGCAUGACCCUCUUAUUGUCCUAAUACUAGAUUUCAGAAAGGUUUUGUAAACUUAAGUGAAAAAAAACUUUGAUGGUUGGUACUAAGCUCUCUGAAACAUAUUUACAUUAAACAUAAGGAAGGGGGAAGAGAAAUGGGAUUAUGGGCUGUACAAAGAAGGCCAGACUGCAGAGCAUCAAAACAGAAUACUAUAAUGAAGUUUGUCAAUGAUGUAUCUGGAUCUUUGCUAUUGCUUUUCUUCAGCCACGACACACUCUCUGUAAAACUAGACCACUUACUUACAGAAAGCUGAUCUACAAUGAUUCCAUGGUGCAGUCCUGGAAUGUAUAAAUCGUGACAUCCUCCAUGAACUAAGUCAAUUACUAUUAAUUUUAUUUAAAAAUAUAAUUCUCACUUUUUUAUGUUUGAGUAAUCAGUCAUAAUUAUGAUUAAGUAUUUUCAAAGAUUCACUUUUGUUAUAAAAAAACUUUAGAGUUGGAAGGGAGCUUAAAAUACAUCUAAACAACUCCAUUAUCCUACAGAUAAAGUUUGGCCAAGAAAAACUGAGAUCACACAACUUGUAAGUCAAGGCAACAAAACUCAAAGUUAGAUCUGACUAGUUCAGCUUAUCGUUCAUGCCAAGGCAUAGCUUACUAAUAGUUAUCUAAUGGAUUGGCUACCUUGACAGUUUUUAAACAUAUGGCAUAAACUACUUGUGCCAGGAUAUAAUACCUAUGUUAUACCACAUAGCAUCUAAAUCAAAAUUUUAUCAAUAUUACUUAGAAGGGUCUGUGUGUAGAAACUGAUUGACAACAAAACAUUUCAUAGAUAUGUUGGACCACCUCCCUUCUCAAGGGUAGUCUUGAAAAAGAUGAAAAUUUUUUCCUAACUAGAACAUAUCAAAUUUUACUCUGGCUGAGUGAGAGGAUAACUAGAGGCAGGAUAUAAAAUAAUGUCUGAGGAGUGUGUAAAGCCAGCUACAUAAUUUGCACUGCCUAGUGCAAAAUGAAAAUUUGGGGCCCCUUGCUUAGUACCUUGUUAUUAAAGAUACAAAAUGCAAAGUUUUUUCUUUAAAGUAUUUUAUUACUAAACAUAAUUCUAAACACAGUAGGGACACUAGUGCCGCAUGAAAUAUAAUACUAAUUUUUAAAUUGUAAAAAAAAUUGUGUUAUAAUUCUAAAUAAUAACAAAUAAUAAUUUUUACUGUAGCAUUGUGAAUCUAGAAUUUUUAUCUCAUUCUUUUGCAAUUCAUUUACUAGAUCAUAAAAAUUUAUAUUUAUUGCAACUUUAUUUAUAAUAGAUAUAACUGAAAGCAUCAGUCAUUGCAAGAUCAUGAAAAAUUUUGAUAAUUUUUAAUUUUGAGAAGGAUAUUCCUGAUGCAAAUGUUCCUGGAACUGAUAAGAAUGUUUUGUUGGCUGUGAUAACAUUGGGAUAAAUUUCUAAUAAAUUAUUUCAACUAUAAUAUUUAGUACAUCUGGAUCUGCUGUUUCUCAAGGAACAUUUUUCUAAAAAGAUUUACAAAUCAGUUUCUUGGAAGUCUGAAUUUAAUUUAAAUGUAAAUUUAUAUAAUAACAUUUUAGUGUUUCCUAUAACAUUUCCUGUAACUUGGGGAGGUCACAGAAGAAAUAAAGCAACUUUACAAUUUGUGAGUAACUCAAAAUGCCUUUCUAUGCAUCCUGUCCUGCUGUAUUUUCAAUUUCAAGAAACAAUUUUAUUUAAAAUUGUCUUCCUUGUUAAAAAUCGUCAUCCAAAAUGUUAUAAGAAAAUAGUGCUCUUUUCUUAUAAUGCAAUUGUAUUUUAAUUUUAUUUCUAUUUCCAAGCCUGUGGAUAUGUAGUUGGAGAGGGCUGUGCCCUCCCAGAUCAAAGGGAAGGAGACUUGCAGCACUGCCAGCAUCUGUACAAGCAUGCAUAUUUCUAUAUCCUUAAGUGCAGGCACGCCUAUAGUUGUCUGCCUAAAAUUAUAGUAUACCUGAUAAGAGGGACGAAGAAACUUAGAUGUAGCAGGAAAACAAGUGGGGUAUGUAAGGCGGCGCUCCACUGCGCUCCACUGCACUCCGGGCUCAGCCUCUGGACACUAAUCUGCUGAGCCAGUGCUGGCACGAAUAAACUCUGCUUUCUGCUAAAAAGCCUUGGUGUCUGGUUUCUCUGCACUUAAGCCCUGCUUACACAUGAUAUUUGCUUUGCAAUAUUGCAUCAGUUAUCAAAAUGAAGAUUCUUUUUAAAUUUUAUUGGCGUAUAUUUGACUUACAAUCUUGUAUGUUUCAGGUGUAUAGCAAAGUGAAUCCAUGUAUCCAUCCUUUUUUCCAUACAGAUAAUAACCAUUGAGUAGCUUUCCCUGAGCUAUACAGUAGGUACUUGUUAGUUAUCUAUUUUAUAUAUAUUAGUGUGUAUGUGUUAAUCCCAUCCUUUGAUUUUAUCUCCCCCCAUGGUUUCCCCUUUGGUAACCCUAAAUUUGAUUUAAAAAAUCUGUGAGUUUGUUUCUAUUUUAUCAAGUUCGUUUGCAUCAUUUUUAUUAGAUUCUACAUAUGUGAUAUCAUAUGAUAUUUCUCUUUGAUUUACUUCACUAAAUAUGAUAAUUUCUAGGUUGAUCCAUGUUACUGCAAAUGGCAUUAUUCCAUUCUUCUUAUGGCUGAGAAAUAUUCCAGUGUGUAUGUACAACAUAUUCUUUAUCCAUUCCUCUGUCAGUGGACAUUUAGGUUGCUUCUACAUCUUGGCUAUUGUAAAUAAUGCUGCAGUGAACAUUGGGGUGCAGGCAUCUUUUUGAAUUAUGGUUUUCUCUAGAUACAUUCUUAGCAGUGGGAUUGCUGGAUCAUUUUGUGAUUCUAUAUUUAGUUUUGAAGGAACUUCCAUACUGUUCUCCAUAGUGGUUACACCAAUUUAUAUUCCCACCAACAGUAUGGGAGGGUUCCCUUUUCUCUAGACUCUUGCCAUCAUUUAUUGUCUGUAGACUUUAUGAUGAUGGCCAUUCUGACUGGUGUGAGGUGGUACCUCAUUUUACUUUUGGCUUGCAUUUCUCUAAUAAGCAGUGAUAUUGGGCAUCUUUUUGUGUGUUUUUUGGCCAUCUGUCUUCUUUGGAGAAACGUCUAUUUAGAUCUUCUGGCUAUUUAUCACUGGAGAUUUGAUAUUUCUGCAGAUGCUGCAAGGACAGGCCCAAGAGACAAAUGAGCAAGCCAGAACUCAGGUCCAGAAACUCAUGCAGAAUCCCUCCUCCCUCCCAAAGCUAUGGCUGCUGGCACUUUUUAUGCUGCUGUAGCCGGUGCUACUCCAAUCUGGUCUAAGAUCCUGACUUGGCAGUCCCCAUGGUGCCCUAAACUACCCGAAGGCAUUAGUUUAUGGGCAAUGCCACUGCUUGGCAUUCAUACUUUUCACCAUGUCCACAGGCUUGAGUCAGCAGGUACUGACUGCUCCUAGACCACUGCCAUGGGAGUAUCCUGCCAUACAGUGUGUCUCCUCUGCUAACACGCAAGCUCUUUGUUCCAUCAGACAUCACUUAACUCAAGGCCAAAUAAUUUUAAGAUGGUAAAAGCAAAGCAUUAAACACAGUAUGGGGCCCCUGUAAGCAUGAGAUCCAUGCAACUAGACACAUCAAAUGCCCCUGAAGCCAACUCUGAUAGUAGGUAAUAAAUGACAAGAUGGUUAUUGAUUUGGAAGUAGCAAAACUGAAAGAUUAGAUAAUACCGAAGUUUGGGGAGACGGUUUUAUCACAUUUAUUGCUCACCAGAGAGUUUUCACUGUAGAAAAGACUUUUAACAAAGAUUUGAUUAAACUAUCAAAGACGGCCAACUAUUUUUUUCAUUUUCCAAUCUUGUUCUUUCUGAUGGCAUGAAACCAAAGCAAUCGAGGGAGGAGGGAUUAGAGUGUUUGACAAAAUCAAGAACAUGAUCUUCUUCUUACCAUGUUCUUCCUGGAUUGAGUCCUAAUUUUCCAGGAACAAAUCCAAUGCUUAUUUCAUGGUUAGUCCCUGGGCCACCCACUUGUGUAAGAAAACUUAGGCUAGUCUGCCAUAGUCUGAGUAUUAAAAUAAGAUAAAACAGUAAAUUAGCUGCCCUCAAUACAGCAAGAAAUUGAUUCAUAUAGUAUUAUUCAGAUUUUGAAUGCUAUCAUAUUCUAUAUUUGAGAGGCAGAAAGCCUUUUCAGUGCUUAAAUCUUUUUCUCAAGGUCACACAAUUUAUAGGCAGUAGAACCUGGGCUUGAGCACAGAAUGUCUGACUUCAGAGCUGCAAUCAGAAUCUGUUUCUCAAUAUUCCCAAUACUACCUGUUCAUCUUUUAACCUUAAGAUUCACAUAACUACUCAUUCCUGC
This 5128-nucleotide long non-coding RNA is filed under the name Sus scrofa (pig). Its description in RNAcentral is "lncRNA (ENSSSCG00035027841.1)". The record is from RNAcentral. Lineage: Eukaryota; Metazoa; Chordata; Mammalia; Artiodactyla; Suidae.